RNAcentral lists this ribosomal RNA (506 nucleotides) under uncultured bacterium. RNAcentral's name for it is "bacterial SSU rRNA". It matches the Rfam family "Bacterial small subunit ribosomal RNA", at positions 9 to 526 of the family's 1533-position model. The record is from RNAcentral.
GAGUUUGAUCCUGGCUCAGGACGAACGCUGGCGGCGCGCCUAACACAUGCAAGUCGAACGAGAGAGAGGAAGCUUGCUUCCUCAAUCGAGUGGCGAACGGGUGAGUAACGCGUGAGGAACCUGCCUCAAAGAGGGGGACAACAGUUGGAAACGACUGCUAAUACCGCAUAAGCCCACAGCUCGGCAUCGAGCAGAGGGAAAAGGAGCAAUCCGCUUUGAGAUGGCCUCGCGUCCGAUUAGCUAGUUGGUGAGGUAACGGCCCACCAAGGCGACGAUCGGUAGCCGGACUGAGAGGUUGAACGGCCACACUGGAACUGAGACACGGUCCAGACUCCUACGGGAGGCAGCAGUGGGGAAUAUUGGGCAAUGGGCGAAAGCCUGACCCAGCAACGCCGCGUGAAGGAAGAAGGCCUUCGGGUUGUAAACUUCUUUUAAGAGGGACGAAGAAGUGACGGUACCUCUUGAAUAAGCCACGGCUAACUACGUGCCAGCCGCCGCGGUAAUUC